Molecule: RNA transcript, 6504 nt
Organism: Felis catus (domestic cat)
Lineage: Eukaryota; Metazoa; Chordata; Mammalia; Carnivora; Felidae
Gene: GGACT
Gene name: gamma-glutamylamine cyclotransferase
Exons: 3
Source: RefSeq, a predicted model, not a curated record
UACCGCGUCCCGCCUCCAGGGGGCGCCGCCGGGGGCGGCCUCCUGGGGCGGCGGCGCCAGUCUCGCCGGGGAUUUCCGCUCGCUGCCUGGUCCUCUCUCCCCGACGGCGCCGCGCUCUGCGGCAGCAGGACUGAGAGAAGGACACCUGGUUCAUGGGCUACUGGUCACACUGUGAGGUGGGGAUACUUAUCCCGGCGUCCCAUUAGGAAGGAUUCUGAAGUCAAAAGCUUUGUAGGCUCUCACACUUACUAUGGUGCUGGACUCCAAGGUGACCGGGUUUUGAAGAAACAAGUCUACGGGGGCAUUAGAAAGAAGAACUGAGCCUGAUGUGAAGAAAAAAGAUGGAGGACAAGUUGCCAGAUGGGCUUCAGGGGUUGUUGUGGUAUGAAACCUAAGAGGCCAAAUAUUAGGGAAAUGUAGUUCAAAAUGUAUAGAAAUGGGAUGAGUUUCUGUAGCUAAGUCAUUUUUGGUUUAAAACUAAUGCAGUAGUUGGAUUGGAAUUUGGAUUGGAAUAAAUAAAAAAUAAUGAAGGAUUAGUAAGGUUGUUACCUCCAUUGGACCCAAGUCCUUAUUUUGUUUAAAAAAAUUAUUAUAGAUGUUCUUUAAACUUUAUUCCUGUUGACAUUAAUAAGGUCCUAUAAAUGUGCAUAUAUAUGGGGAAGUGGAGGAAGGGAUAAUAGACGGGUAUUGGGGUCUUAAAUUGGGGUUUUAGAAUACCAGACUAAUACACCUGCUGCCCCCUGGUGGCAGCGUAUUAAAUAGUGAAGUUCAGAGGUGAGGAAUUCUGGAGAGCUGAGUUGGUUGUAUAAGAGGAUUAUAGGGGGAAUCAGGAGAUGUUUUCUCUUUCCAGCUCUGUUCAUAAUUACUAUCCAUAUGACCUUAGGUAAAUCAUUUAGUUUGAUUACCUUUUAUUUUAUAAGUUUCUUCCAGCUUUCACAUCUUACAAUUCUCUGAUGGUAAUAGCACAUAUUAUGUACCAAAAGAUGUGAAGUUCCACUUUUUCCAUUAGCAGCUGAAUCCUAACAUAUCCUAUAUAUUUGUUUAAGAAAGCAUACUCUAGAGUAACUCCUGAGGCACGAUACAGAUUCAGCUCUGGGCAGCAGACUGCAUAGGCUAUCUGUAGCACAGUCCAUAAUUAAUCAGUGUGACGAUCUUGCAUUAUUAUGAAAGCUCACAAGUUACAUCAUUUAAAAAAUAAUUUUUAUUGUGGUUAAAAAAAUAACAUAAACUUUACCAUCUUAACCAUUUUUAAGUAUACAGUUCAAUAGUGUUAAGUAUAUUCAGUGUUGUACAACAUACCUCCAAAACUGUUACUUCUUGUAAAACUGAAACUGUGUACCCAUUAGACAGCAACCCCCUACACUCCCCCUGCCCCUAGCAACCGCCAUGCUACUCUCUGUCUCUAUGAAUUUGACUAUUCUAGGUACCUCAUGUAAGUGGAAUCAUACAGUAUUUGUCUUUUUGUGACUAGUUUCUUUCAUUUAGCAUGAUGUUCCUAAGGCGAAUCCAAAUUGUAGCACGUGACAGGAUUUCUUUCCUUUAAGGCUGAAUAUUUGUAUGUAGAUACAUUUUACUUCUCCAUUCAUCUAUUGACAGACUCUUGGAUUACUUCCACUUCUUUGCUAUUGUGAAUAAUGCUGCAAUGAACCAAGGAUAUGCUGCAUUUUUAGUAUACAGUGUUUACUAAUGCAGAGAGGGUUUAUACAGUUUUUACAUGCAUAAAAGGUUAAAUUUCAUUAUAAAAACACCAUUCAACCAUGCUAAAUAACUAGGAUAUAGCUUUUUGUGUGGAUGAGUAAGUUAAAAAAGGAAUUAACAUUUAUCGAACAUACAAACUGUAUGUCAGGCACUUUUGUAUCUGUGAUCCAUUCUAUUGUUUAGUGCUUACAGUAAUUCUGUGAUUUACCCUUCUCUUGGGAGGGGACUAAUACUUAUUAAAAUCACUGUGUACCAGAAUUUUUAUAUACGUUAUCUCAUAUAAUCUUCAUACAUUAACCCUUGAGGUGUGCUUUAGUAUCCCUGAUGUAACUGAGGUUCAGAGAUAUGAAACACCUUGAACAAGGUCACAUAGCUAAAAGGUAGCAGAGUUUUACCUGAGUACAAAGUGAAACAUGUCUGUUUCAGAUGUGUUCAACAUAUACCAUACUUUCUCCUGCUUUCAGAAAUAACACUAUACAUCUAUGAUCUGAAAGAUGUUGGAACAAUAUCAAGAUUACACUGCUACAAUAAUUUAUAAAUAGAAACACUUCUGUAGUGCCUUUCCACUAAAUAACAGUCUUUGGGUUUUCCUUGCAGAGAAACAGCAUCGAUUCAGAUGAAUUCAUCUGAAAUGUAUCAAGGCUUACCUCCUGGGGCAUUUUGCAAAAUAAACCUUCCUAGGACUUCCAAAAGAGUGGUUCUCUUGUGCCAGUCCCCCCAUUUCUGAGGUUAUCUUCCAUGUGUUAUUUUCCCCUUUUUCUUUCUCCCUUUCCUUUGAUGUGGCAGAUAGCUAGGACCGUUUUCACCACUUUCUGCCCCCACCUCUCUUGAACGCUGUGCUGCUUGGGUUUGGAGUUUUGAUCUGCUCCUUGCAUAGUGUUUUUUCACAGGUAAAGGGUUAUAAAAUGUCCUCAUAGGUGGUGGUUUUCUUGGUGAGUCAGUAAGCUCUUGGAAAGGCCCACUGCAACAUGGGGUUUUUCGACUAACAGAGAUGUAGUGGUAUAGCAUCCGAGCAGCCACUUAAGCUUCUCUAAGAGUUCCUGUGCACUUAGGAUGACUUACAUUGGUAAUUUACAAGCCUAGUGAUAGGUGAGGCUCAGGAAUGCUUCCAAGAUUCAUUCAAGGCCUUCAAUAAUUCCUGAAAGCAGGAUGUUAUCCAGUAAAUAAAGAAAAUGAGAGUGGCAGAAAUUGUGGUCACCACCAAAUGUCCAAUGUCUCCUUCCUUAGUUCCUGAUCUGCAGUUUUAUUCUGAGUGACCAUGUCCCUCAAGUUAUGGUAAAAAACAGGAAGGAGAAAUGUGUGAGACUUCUGGCAAGUUUUGCAAAGAAACCUGAGUCCGUGAGGUUGCUCCUGUUCCUCACCCUGCCCUUCAUAGUUCCUAUUACUUCGCAUGAAGAUAUUAUGGCCAGUGUAAUGGCAGCCAUCUUUUCUCCUAAGAGGACCUUAAGAAUGGAAGGCAUCUGUUAGCAGUGACACCGAGGAGCCUGGUGUGCUGGCUUACACAAAUGGCCACAAAUUCUUUCUAUUCUCUUGUGUGUGCACCUGUGCAGGGCACCUUUGCAGCCCCUCCCAUAAAGGGAAGAAGUCACCAUCUCCACCCCUAAACCUAGCACGGGGAGUCCCAGGCUGAGUGGGGUGAGUAGACUGCCCUUUUAGAGGGUUAUCUCAAUGUGGGCUGUCAGAGCCUGAGCGGCAAGAGGAGAGUUUAUGUGCAGGGAAGAUGGUUGUGACUGAAAUUGGAAAUUAGUUACAUAUGGAAGGAUUGAUCAUGUAAUUAACUGUACCAAAGAUCAUAUGAGCCAGCUAUGCCACUGUUGAAGGGAGUUGUCAGUACAGAAAUGUCAAGAACUAGGAUGAACCGUGUGGUGGUAUGGAUUGGGUCAGGUGUGUGAGUGUGAACUCAUGGUUUUCAAUACGUAUGGAUAUAAAUAUGUGUGUGUGUGUGUGUGUGUAUAGAUAGAUAUAGAUAUAUAGAUAUAUGUGUACAUAGUCUACUGAGGGAGCCUCUUGGGCAGAUAACACUGCAAGAACAAUAAGCACACCUCACACCUAGAUCUUGGCUUCUAAAUACCAACUAACAGGUGGAAACUAGGGCUCCUUGCAGAAAUGGCUGGUUCCAGGCCUGGGGCAGAGAAAGUCCAAGAUGAAUGUGGAACAUCUUGUGCCAGAAAGCAAGGAAAUGCAUUCUUAGGACUCAGCGACAGAAACAGUUCUGCCCACAAGGGAGGAUUACACAGGGGAGAUGAUGUUUGAAGUGACCUGUGAACCUUGAAGGAUGAGUAGGAUUUUGCCAGGCAGCAUGUUGAGGAAGGAAGAAGUUCCUUAGGGGCAAUGGCAGCCUUAUGAGCAAAGAGGGGGUCAGAUUAUACCUGCCGCAGAGCAGUGUAAGGUAUGGCCUACAUAUGGCUGAAGAGAAAGAUGCAGCUGGACACUGAUUGUCCUGCGUGAGCCACGUGCAGAAACUUAGGCUUGACCCUUUAGAAUUUGUCUAGAGCUGCAUAACAAAUUAUCCUUAACAUCAGUGGCUGCAGACAACAUGCAUUAUCCCCCAUUUUCUGCAGGUGAGAAUCUGGGAGCUGCUUGGCUCGUGGCUCUAGCUCAGGGUCUUCAGCAGGCUGCAGACAGGGUGUGGGCUGGGGCUGUGGUCAUCUCCCAGCUGACUGGAGGAGCAUCUGAGCUCACUCAUGUGACAGCCAGCAGGCCUUGGGGCCUUUCUGGCUGUCGGCAGAGACCUCAGCUCCUCUCCAGACGGGUGUCUCCUUAGGGAGUCUCACAGCGUGGCAGCUGGCUUCCGUGACAGCGAGGGGUCUGAGGAAAAGAGUGUACCAGAGAGCCCUCCAGACGGAAGGCACAGUCUAUUUAAAACCUAAUCUCAGAAGUAACAUCCCAUCACAUCCUCUGUAUUGUGUUCAUUUGAAUCAAGUCACUAAAGCUAGCCUUUGCACAAGGGGCACGAAUCACACAGGGACACUGUCAGUAGGGGAGAGGAUCAUUAGGGUCAUCUGAGGGGGCCCCUCAGAGCCCAGGCUGGGAAACGGGGAGGGGCACGGUCUUGCAUGCAGUUGCAGGUUGCGGGGGGCGGGGGGGUGAGGGCAAGCCUGGGGCAGUGAGACCAUUUAGGAGGUGGCCAUCCAUGUGGGCAAGGAGAGGCCUUGUCAUCAGUAGCUGGGAGCAGUUGGAGUGAGAGGAAAGAGGGCUUAGGUCACCAGGCGGUGCCGAUGCCUCCAGAUUAUGUGUGUGCACCCAGCCGCAGCAGGCAUCAUCUUCAGAAACUUGUGAUGAGAUGCCUGCUGUUUGAAAAAACACCAAUGCUUUCUUAUUACUUGCUGUUAAGCAGAUUGGUUCAUGGACUUCAGUGGGUGGAAACCAGCUUCUGCAGAGAGGGCUUUGCAGGAUCCCUUUGCUGCCAGGAAACAAGUGGGAGCUGCUGGGCCAUUACCUCAUUUUAAAGCACAUGCUCAGGCUGUGGGAGCUCGGCUGUAAUCCCUUCAGUUUUAUCUCACACAUGUUCUCCACCCACACUGUUAUUUGGUAGUGAAAUGACACAUGAAGGUUGCUUGGGUUUGAGGGUAGGCUGAACUGUACCAGGCUCUACAGUUCUAGCGGAUCCCUCUUGGAGGUCAACGCUGUGAUCUUUACUGAGGACAUCUGAAGGAUGGCUUCUCCUUCCUGACAUCUCCCCUUUGUUUGAAGUUUGACCUGAACACCAACCAGUUACUUUAAAGAGUGAUGUUUCCACAGAGAUUUUGGAUUUUGUAUUUCAGGUGUGUCGUCAGCAAGCCAACGUAAACAAGAUUACCUGCACAUUGGGGAAGUAGAUGUGCAUAAGUAGUGGGCACAGGGUCAUAGGAUUGGGGAGGGGGAGGUAGACAGGCCAUCACUUGUGAAACCCUGUAUGUGGAGAAAAAGUAUUUCAGGUUUACUUCACUCUAGUCUUUUCCUAGCAUCAUUAUGUUCAAAGUUAAAAACAAGCAUAGAGACCAUCCAUUAACCCUGAGUGAUUCCUGGGAAUGCGGCCAUCUGGGAGAGCAGUAAAGUCAUGCUUCUGGAAGGUGUGAACUGGGACCCUGCUUCUGUCCCCCAUGAAGGGCUGGCUGCCACCACCCUGGGGCACACCCAGCACAGAGCCUGUAUAGCCCUGUACUGUGUUAUGCUGCUGACACCAGGUGUUGAAAGUUAAAAAUGGAAUUUAUUCCACAUGUUUAAAAUGGUUAUUCCUGUUGCUUAAUACUUGCACUUAAGGCUGACCUUGAAUCAUAAGUGAGUGAAAACAUGAUGCUCUUAGAAAAUUUGUAUUCAGUAAUAGUGUUUAGGAAACAGUUUCAUAGUUACAUAAAAAUGAUGGGGCAAUUUAAAGGGCUAAUGUGUAUUAAACUUGGAAAAGACCACCUUUUAGUUAUCUUGAGAUCUUUUUAUAUCAUCUUUACUUUUAUGUAUUUUGUUUUCCUUUUUGUGUAACUUGGACACUUGAAGCAUUUUAUUUUUUAAAAGAUACAGGUUUCUAUACAUGUGAAAUCUUUAAUAUUUGGAAAAUUUGUUUUUCUGGUUAAUUGAACUUUCCAUAUAGCUGAAGGUUAAGCAAAAAUCUUUUCUAGAAAAUCUUGUGAAUCAGUGUUUUUAUAGUGUACAAAAAAUAAUGAAGCCUCUUUAACCCAAAAGUUAGUAAUUCUACAGUAGCAUCAGCAUAAAACUGAAGGACCUUACAGUAGGCAAGAUAUGGAAACAACCUAAGUGUCUGUCAACAGAUGAUAAAGUGUGUAUAAUAUUCCAUUACAAAUGGAAUUAUAUAGGGGCGCCUGGGUGGCU